This is a long non-coding RNA of Passer domesticus (house sparrow), 273 nucleotides long. RefSeq lists it as uncharacterized. The transcript has 3 exons. Lineage: Eukaryota; Metazoa; Chordata; Aves; Passeriformes; Passeridae. The record is from RefSeq and is a predicted model, not a curated record.
CUUGAGCAGAAAGUGUCAGUGCAUUCUGUCUUUGCUCAGGACAUGAAUAUGUAGAAAAGGUCCACAGCGUCACAGCGAUGGCAACAAAUCUCAGGAGCUGAACAAUGAGAGCUACUAAUGACUGGAACUUGUACAGCUUGUUUCCUCCAGUAGCAGCAAGCCAGUUCACAGCCCCCUGUGAUGCUCCCAUGGAUGAUUUACAGAGCACUGGACAGAACUUUCAUAUUUAGCCAAGCCUGUGAAAACUGACCAGGAAUAAAGCUAGGAAGCAGG